UACAGAGGUCUCGAGCGUUGUUCGGAUUCAUUGGGCGUAAAGGGUGCGUAGGUGGCGCCGUAAGUCGGGUGUGAAAUUUCGGAGCUUAACUCCGAAACUGCAUUUGAUACUGCCUUGCUUGAGGACUGGAGAGGAGACUGGAAUUCACGGUGUAGCAGUGAAAUGCGUAGAUAUCGUGAGGAAGACCAGUGGCGAAGGCGGCUCACUGGCCCGAUACUGACGCUGAGGCACGAAAGCGUGGGGAGCAAACAGG
This 253-nucleotide ribosomal RNA is filed under the name uncultured bacterium. RNAcentral describes it as "partial 16S ribosomal RNA". It matches the Rfam family "Bacterial small subunit ribosomal RNA", at positions 524 to 776 of the family's 1533-position model. The record is from RNAcentral.